GUCAAUUGCUAUGAAACAUAAUGCAGGCAGGCGAUGUUGGGCUGCCAAAAAAUGUUUAGCCACUGGUUUGUCAGUCCUUUGAUCCAGAAAGGCUGUCAUAAUUCCAGACCGGUGUCCUCCUAUUCGAUCUCGAAGGAUCAGAUCUGUUUUCCCUACAUAAGACAGUCCACAGGGACAGGUAAUCAUAUAAAUCACAUAAUCAGUAGCACAUGUGCUAUAGUGUGAUAUCGGGAUACGUUUCUCACUG
Pelobates cultripes (western spadefoot toad) is the source of this 247-nucleotide non-coding RNA. The record is from the annotation of a GenBank genome assembly. Lineage: Eukaryota; Metazoa; Chordata; Amphibia; Anura; Pelobatidae.